AGUGAACGCUGGCGGUAGGCCUAACACAUGCAAGUCGAACGGCAGCACAGUAAGAGCUUGCUCUUACGGGUGGCGAGUGGCGGACGGGUGAGGAAUACAUCGGAAUCUACUUUUUCGUGGGGGAUAACGUAGGGAAACUUACGCUAAUACCGCAUACGACCUACGGGUGAAAGCAGGGGAUCUUCGGACCUUGCGCGAUUGAAUGAGCCGAUGUCGGAUUAGCUAGUUGGCGGGGUAAAGGCCCACCAAGGCGACGAUCCGUAGCUGGUCUGAGAGGAUGAGCAGCCACACUGGAACAGAGACACGGUCCAGGCUCCUACGGGAGGCAGCAGUGGGGAAUAUUGGACAAUGGGCGCAAGCCUGAUCCAGCCAUACCGCGUGGGUGAAGAAGGCCUUCGGGUUGUAAAGCCCUUUUGUUGGGAAAGAAAAGCAGCAGGUUAAUACCCCGCUGUUCUGACGGUACCCAAAGAAUAAGCACCGGCUAACUUCGUG
Molecule: ribosomal RNA, 492 nt
Filed under: uncultured bacterium
Lineage: Bacteria
Description: partial 16S ribosomal RNA
Rfam family: Bacterial small subunit ribosomal RNA
Source: RNAcentral